UAAUAUUUAACUACCGGUAUCAUCGAAUGGUACUAACAAUUCUAGUAAACAAUAUGAAAUGCUUGCAUGCAUAAUUAAUUAUAAAAACAUGCAUGAUGAUCUGAUGAUAAUCGAGGAUUUUCGAUUGUUGAAGGUCAUGAAAUUUUGCGAUGCCACAGUGACCCAUAAAUUACAAAAUUGAACGAACUCGCGUUACACAUAAUACGUGGAUACCGAUAAAAGCCUGCCAAACAUACCAUGAUGAGAUGAGAAGAAUUAAAAUCAUUGUUAUAAUAUAAUAUCUCAAAAAUAAGGGAACUGUGCUUGUGUGUUACGUUCCUGUUCCCGAGUCACUGCUAGGGGUGCUUGCCCUGCGGGUGAACUUAGACAGUAGGUUGCCGCCACGAAAGACGGUUUUAACGUCGAUAGUCACUAUUCGAAUCGUUCAGUAACCCGAAUGUCAGUCGAUAUCUGCAAACUCGAUGGCCAGGAUGGGAAGGUUCUUCCAAUUCAUGUGCCACAGAACGUGAGUCUCUUGGAAACGUAUCGUUACGUCAUGGAAAAUGCAGCAGAUUCCAGAGUAGCAGAUUGGAUGUUAAUGAGUAGUCCAUUUCCAUUGCUAGGAAUUAUAUUUCUUUAUUUGCUCUUUGUUCUUCGUCUUGGCCCAUUGUGGAUGAAAAAUCGAAAACCAUACAGUUUAAACAAAAUUAUGAUUUGUUACAAUAUUUUUAUGUCAACUGCCAGUGGAACUGUAUUUUAUGGAUUGUUAACAUCUGCCACAAAAUUUUCUCUUGGAUGCGAACCUCAUAUCGUUAUGAAUGAUCCCAAAUCUUAUCGUAUGGCUCGAUGGAUGUGGAGGCUCUUAAUGUUGAAAGUCCUCGAGUUGAGCGACACUAUCAUCUUCGUUCUAAGGAAAAAAUACAACCAAGCAUCUUUUCUUCACAUUUAUCAUCACACAUCGACCGUUCUUCUUGCCUGGAUAGCAUGCAAAUUUGUCCCAGGUGGUAUGUGGCCGUUCACGAUUAUGCCAAACUGCAUCGUGCACGUGAUUAUGUACACCUAUUAUCUGCUCGCCUGCUUGGGCCCAGAAGUGCAAAAGAGGAUCGCGCCUUGGAAACAAUACAUUACGGGUUUACAAAUGGUCCAGUUUAUUAUUAUGAUAUGUUAUACGUUUCAAACUUUGUUGCCUUCGUGUGAACCAAAUCGAAAACCGAUAGCCUAUAUUUAUAUGUCGCAGAUCCUUAUCAUGUUUGGUAUGUUUUGCGACUAUUACAAGAAAUCAUAUCUCAGAAAAAAGAUGAAGUAAUAACAAUUCAGAGAGAAUCAGAAAAGUCGAGGUAAGUGAUUACACGUUGUGUAAAUGCUACCAUGAAAAUCCAGUAGAGUCCAACCAUUGUGACCGCGCGAUAUGCUUCAUCCUGGAGGGCGUAUCUCUCUACACAGUGAUAAUUCCAUGAAAAAUCGGAAUAGAGCGAUCGUGAAUGCUUGAUAAAACACGGUUGGUGGAACACAUUAGAAAGACACGCAUCAGGAAGCAAGCAUGGGGCAUGAUACAAGGACACGUGUGCCUAAAGGGGUGACAUUACAGAAACGUUUUCCUGGCCGACCGAAAUUAGCAUAGAGGAUUACCGUGUCUGUGGCUUAAAGUCGACACGCAUGGUUGCACGCCGAUAAGAGUUUAUUAACGCUGGGUAUAUUUAUCUUGCAAUUUCGACCGACGCGAAACCCUUUACCCUCCCCUCAACUUUCCCUCUCAGGAUUCAGGAGGUAAGCUGGUCCAAAGAGCUAUCUAUAAUAUAUGUAUGCGUAUACAAUUUGUUAAAGAUGAUGAAUUGUUUCGAUUAUAAUAAUUUAAUUUUCUAUAAUGUUUUGUUCAAUGAAGAUAAUAUUGUAUGUUAAUAAUUAUUGAGAGGGAAUGACUUGAAAAUACGAAGAGGAAAAUUAUAUC
This 1927-nucleotide unclassified non-coding RNA is filed under the name Apis dorsata (giant honeybee). Its description in RNAcentral is "elongation of very long chain fatty acids protein AAEL008004-like, transcript variant X3". The record is from RNAcentral. Lineage: Eukaryota; Metazoa; Arthropoda; Insecta; Hymenoptera; Apidae.